RNAcentral lists this ribosomal RNA (654 nucleotides) under Bacillus sp. I12B-00913. RNAcentral describes it as "bacterial SSU rRNA". It matches the Rfam family "Bacterial small subunit ribosomal RNA", at positions 110 to 751 of the family's 1533-position model. Lineage: Bacteria; Bacillati; Bacillota; Bacilli; Caryophanales; Bacillaceae. The record is from RNAcentral.
GUAACACGUGGGUAACCUACCUUAUAGAUCGGGAUAACUCCGGGAAACCGGGGCUAAUACCGAAUAAUACUUUUUAACACAUGUUUGAAAGUUGAAAGACGGUCUUGCUGUCACUAUAAGAUGGACCCGCGGCGCAUUAGCUAGUUGGUGAGGUAACGGCUCACCAAGGCAACGAUGCGUAGCCGACCUGAGAGGGUGAUCGGCCACACUGGGACUGAGACACGGCCCAGACUCCUACGGGAGGCAGCAGUAGGGAAUCUUCCACAAUGGACGAAAGUCUGAUGGAGCAACGCCGCGUGAGUGAAGAAGGAUUUCGGUUCGUAAAACUCUGUUGCAAGGGAAGAACAAGUAGCGUAGUAACUGGCGCUACCUUGACGGUACCUUGUUAGAAAGCCACGGCUAACUACGUGCCAGCAGCCGCGGUAAUACGUAGGUGGCAAGCGUUGUCCGGAAUUAUUGGGCGUAAAGCGCGCGCAGGUGGUUCCUUAAGUCUGAUGUGAAAGCCCCCGGCUCAACCGGGGAGGGUCAUUGGAAACUGGGGAACUUGAGUGCAGAAGAGGAUAGUGGAAUUCCAAGUGUAGCGGUGAAAUGCGUAGAGAUUUGGAGGAACACCAGUGGCGAAGGCGACUGUCUGGUCUGUAACUGACACUGAGG